Molecule: ribosomal RNA, 424 nt
Filed under: uncultured bacterium
Lineage: Bacteria
Description: partial 16S ribosomal RNA
Rfam family: Bacterial small subunit ribosomal RNA
Source: RNAcentral
AAUUUUGUACAAUGGGGGAAACCCUGAUCCAGCCAUCCCGCGUGUAUGAUGAAGGCCUUCGGGUUGUAAAGUACUUUUGUCAGAGAAGAAAAGGUAUCCCCUAAUACUGGAUACUGCUGACGGUAUCUGCAGAAUAAGCACCGGCUAACUACGUGCCAGCAGCCGCGGUAAUACGUAGGGUGCAAGCGUUAAUCGGAAUUAAUGGGCGUAAAGCGAGUGUAGGCGGUUCGGAAAGAAAGAUGUGAAAGCCAAGGGCUCAACCUUGGAACUGCAUUUUUAAAUGCAGAGCUAGAGUAUGUAAGAGGGGAGUAGAAUUCCACGUGUAGCAGUGAAAUGCGAAGAUAUGUGGAGGAAUACCGAUGGCGAAGGCAGCCCCCUGGGAUAAUACUGACGCUCAGAAACGAAAGCGUGGGGAGCAAACAGG